RNAcentral lists this ribosomal RNA (164 nucleotides) under Lysiandra hirtella. Its description in RNAcentral is "Phyllanthus hirtellus 5.8S ribosomal RNA". The record is from RNAcentral. Lineage: Eukaryota; Viridiplantae; Streptophyta; Magnoliopsida; Malpighiales; Phyllanthaceae.
UUAACGACUCUCGACAACGGAUAUCUCGGCUCUCGCAUCGAUGAAGAACGUAGCGAAAUGCGAUACUUGGUGUGAAUUGCAGAAUCCCGUGAACCAUCGAGUCUUUGAACGCAAGUUGCGCCCGAAGUCUUYUGGCUGAGGGCACGUCUGCCUGGGUGUCACGC